UUCGCAAUGCCCGAAAGGGUGAACGAGCGACGCCGCGUGCAGGAUGAAGGACUUCGGUUUGUAAACUGCUUUUCUACGGGAAGAAUACCUGGAUCGUGCAUCUGGGGGAGACGGUACCGUGGGAAUAAGCCUCGGCUAACUCCGUGCCAGCAGCCGCGGUAAGACGGAGGAGGCGAGCGUUGUUCGGAAUUAUUGGGCGUAAAGCGCGUGUAGGCGGAUGGGAACGUCGGCCUUUGAAAGCCCCCGGCUCAACCGGGGAAGCGGAGCCGAAACGACCGAUCUGGAGGGACGUAGGGGGACCUGGAACUUCCGGUGGAGCGGUGAAAUGCGUUGAGAUCGGAAGGAACGCCCGUGGCGAAAGCGAGGUCCUGGACGUCUGCUGACGCUGAGACGCGAAAGCUAGGGGAGCAAACGGGAUUAGAUACCCCGGUAGUCCUAGCCGUAAACGAUGGGCACUAAGUAGAGGGGUUUU
This 472-nucleotide ribosomal RNA is filed under the name uncultured bacterium. RNAcentral describes it as "bacterial SSU rRNA". It matches the Rfam family "Bacterial small subunit ribosomal RNA", at positions 364 to 832 of the family's 1533-position model. The record is from RNAcentral.